AAUGAACGUUGGCGGCGUGGAUUAGGCAUGCAAGUCGCACGGGCCGCAAGGCCAGUGGCGCAAGGGUGAGUAAGGCGACGGUAACCAACCCCAUGGUUGGGCAUAGCCGCGGGAAACCGCGGGUAAUUCCCAGCGACGUCGCGCGGGGGCAUCUCCGUGCGACCAAAGUCCUGGCGCCGUGGGACGGGCCGUCGUGGUAUUAGGUGGUUGGCGGGGUAACGGCCCACCAAGCCGGCGAUGCCUACCGGGCGUGCGAGCGUGGCCCGGCACACUGGGACUGAGACACUGCCCAGACUCCUACGGGAGGCUGCAGUCGAGAAUCUUCGGCAAUGGGCGCAAGCCUGACCGAGCGACGCCGCGUGGAGGAUGAAGGCCCUCGGGUUGUAAACUCCUGUCGAGGGGGAAGAAGGGGGUAAAACCCUUGACUGAUCCCUGGAGGAAGCACGGGCUAAGUUCGUGCCAGCCGCCGCCGUAAA
RNAcentral lists this ribosomal RNA (476 nucleotides) under uncultured bacterium. Its description in RNAcentral is "bacterial SSU rRNA". It matches the Rfam family "Bacterial small subunit ribosomal RNA", at positions 28 to 524 of the family's 1533-position model. The record is from RNAcentral.